RNA transcript from Sus scrofa (pig), 2172 nucleotides. It is a transcript of the gene named lipase H, with no coding region annotated. Lineage: Eukaryota; Metazoa; Chordata; Mammalia; Artiodactyla; Suidae. The record is from RefSeq and is a predicted model, not a curated record.
GAAAAGAGGAGGAGUCACAGAUCCUGAAAGGCUUGGGACUGGCCUGCAGUCCCUUGGGAACUUCCUGUUGUCACCACACCUCUGCAUUAGUUAUCUGAGCUCUCUGAGUGGAAAGUCUAAGGCUCUGGGAAGGAACUCAUUCUCCUUGUGAAUGUGACACACUCUGUCUCCAGUUCCCAUAUGCUGAAAUUAUUUUUCCUCAUUAGUUUGACGUGCUUGGUGAGAUCAGACACAGAUGAAACAUGUCCUUCAUUCACCAAACUGAGUUUUCACAGUGCAGUGGUUGGUACAGGACUCAGUGUGAAGCUGAUGCUCUACACAAGGAGAAACCCAACCUGUGCACAAGCCAUCAAUUCCACAGCUUUGGGGAACUUGAACAUGACCCAGAAAACCACCUUCAUUGUCCAUGGAUUCAGGCCAACAGGUUCUCCUCCAAUUUGGAUGGAGGACUUAGUGGCUGGUUUGCUCUCCGUAGAAGACAUGAAUGUGGUCGUUGUUGACUGGAAUCGAGGAGCUACAACUGUAAUGUACAACCAUGCCUCCAGUAAGACCAGAAAAGUAGCAGUAGUCUUGAAGGAAUUUAUCGACCAAAUGCUGGCAGGAGGAGCUUCUCUUGAUGACAUUUACAUGAUUGGAGUAAGUCUAGGGGCCCACAUAGCUGGGUUUGUUGGAAAGAUGUAUGAUGGCCAGCUGGGAAGAAUUACAGGUCUGGACCCUGCGGGCCCUUUAUUCAACGGGAGGCCUCCAGAGGACAGAUUAGAUCCUGGUGAUGCCCAGUUCAUUGACGUCAUCCAUUCUGACAUUGAUGCACUGGGCUACAAGGAACCAUUAGGAAACAUAGAUUUCUAUCCAAAUGGAGGACUGGAUCAACCUGGUUGCCCCAAAACAAUAUUUGGAGGAAUGCAGUAUUUCAAGUGUGACCAUCAGAGGUCCGUGUACCUGUACCUUUCUUCCCUGAGAGAGAAAUGCACCAUCACUGCAUAUCCCUGUGACUCCUACCGGGAUUAUAGGAAUGGCAAGUGUGUCCACUGUGGCACACCACAGAUGGAGUCCUGCCCCCUUCUGGGUUAUUAUGCUGAUAAUUGGAAAGACUAUUUAAGGAAGAAGGAUCCUCCCAUGACUAAAGCGUUUUUUGACACAGCUGGGGAGAAACCGUUCUGCAGUGAGUGUAUAUCAUUACUUUGUGGACAUUAUAACUUGGAACAAGAACAUAAGAAGGGGAUCCAUUACAAUCAAAUUGAGAGACAAAGCUGGAAACACCACAGAAUCCAAAAUCAAUCAUGAACCUGCAACAUUUCAGAAAUACCACCAAGUGAGUCUGCUUGCAAGAUUCAGUCAGGAUCUGGAUAAAGUGUCAGCCAUUUCCUUGGUAUUCUCUACAGGAUCCGUAAUAGGCCCAAAGUACAAGCUCAGGAUUCUCCGAAUGAAGUUAAGGUCACUUGCCCAUCCAGAAAGGCCCCAGCUGUGUCGGUAUGAUCUUGUUCUGAUGGAAAAUGUUGAAACGGUCUUCCAGCCUAUUCUUUGCCCAAAGUUGCACAUGUAACUGUUGUGAGGACUCCUGGGUGCCAGUAACAUCAAGAAUGCUGCAACUACAGGCUUUUUAAAGCUUUACCGCGCCUUUUCCUCAAGGCACAAAAAGGAUGGAAUAACCAGGGUUUUUUUUUUUUUUUUUUUUCCCAGUAAUGUCUUAUGGAUGUCACAUUGUAAAAAUGUCAAACGACCUUGGAUUAUGAAACAGUCCUGGGAAGAGAGCCCCUAAGUAGGGCAAGUCAGAAAUAGCCAGGCUCCCGACGGCCCAGUGCCUUGUUAGUCUGUGUCCUGGGGCCCCAUUUGUUCCGACCUGUCGAUUCUGCUGCCUGUCACUGAGGUAGUUCUGCCCAUCGCAGCGGCCAGCCAUGCACCUUAAAGGGAAGGACUGGCUGGCAACUUCACUUUGGACUUGACCCCACAUUCCCUGUGCCAGAUCCCUCCAGGCCCUGCAUGGAGACAGGAAUGGAAACUGACCUACCUUACAGGGCUCUUGUGUGGGGGGGUUUGGGAGGCAAGUCUGUGAAGGGUUCUUUGAAAUCCCCUGGGUGCCACAUCUGUGAGUGGCUUGAUACAUGUGAAUAUGCUUUUAUUUAUUUUGAUACAGUUUUUCUAAUAUGCAAUAAGAGUUUCUCCUUAUCAACA